Molecule: ribosomal RNA, 497 nt
Filed under: uncultured bacterium
Lineage: Bacteria
Description: partial 16S ribosomal RNA
Rfam family: Bacterial small subunit ribosomal RNA
Source: RNAcentral
GAUGAACGCUGGCGGCGUGCCUAAUACAUGCAAGUCGAGCGAACAGACGAGGAGCUUGCUCCUCUGACGUUAGCGGCGGACGGGUGAGUAACACGUGGAUAACCUACCUAUAAGACUGGGAUAACUUCGGGAAACCGGAGCUAAUACCGGAUAAUAUAUUGAACCGCAUGGUUCAAUAGUGAAAGACGGUUUUGCUGUCACUUAUAGAUGGAUCCGCGCCGCAUUAGCUAGUUGGUAAGGUAACGGCUUACCAAGGCGACGAUGCGUAGCCGACCUGAGAGGGUGAUCGGCAACACUGGACCUGAGACACGGUCCAGACUCCUACGGGAGGCAGCAGUAGGGAAUCUUCCGAAAUGGGCGAAAGCCUGACGGAGCAACGCCGCGUGAGUGAUGAAGGUCUUCGGAUCGUAAAACUCUGUUAUUAGGGAAGAACAAAUGUGUAAGUAACUAUGCACGUCUUGACGGUACCUAAUCAGAAAGCCACGGCUAACUACGUG